GGUGGGGUGAUUAAAAGAGAGAAAAAUUAUAUCUGGGUCCAGGAAUAACGAAAGGCUUCCUCUAAAAAAGUCUUGAGCAAAGAAACGGGAUUUAAAAAGAGGUGAUCUUGAGUUACAGGAGAUGCCAGGAGGCAGGCACGCGAGGGUGUAGGGCCGACCAGGCUGGGAGGUUCACCAGGUGGAAACCCGGGCGGGGCGGGCGGUGCAGCGAGCGCGGGGUGGGCGGGGCCUCUCCGAGCCCCGCCCCGGGCCCGCCCCGGGGCCCGCCGCCUCUUCCCGUGAGAGGUGGGGGGCGGGUCCGGCCGCGGAACCUGCGCCUGCGCCCGCGCUGCGGCCGCGGCGACCGGUUUUUCUGACCCAGCUGGAAGGGCCGGCGCAGGUGGCCUCGAGUGCGUGUUCCUCUUGGCCUCUGAUGUCUGCGAGGGGAAUUCAGCAACAGGGACUCCUGUCUGGUGCUCUGACCCCAGCUUCCUCAAUCCAGGCUCUAAAGAGGCGCCCUCAGCCGAGCCCCGGGGUCCCGCGGGCCGCGGACCCUCCCUCCCUUUCCCUGCUCUGCACCCCGGGCCGGCGCUCCGUCCUGGGCGGAUGCCCCUCUGCGCCCUGUGGGCCCGCGCCGGCGCUUGUCCCCGUCCCGACUUGGGUUGGCCAUCACCCUGCGUUGGGUCGGGGGCUGUGUUUGUGCUUUCUGGCAUUGUAUUCGGCCCCGAGCGCUUACUGGACACUCAAGAAAUGGCUGUCCCUUCUCUGGUUGCUGUCUGCUAGCCCUCUCACCAGCCUGGGCUCUGUCACUCAGCCUGUCUGCUUUAAGGAAUACUCAGUCUACCCCAGCACACUCCCUCUGCUUGAAGAGCGGGCUGGAAGGAGAAAGGUGUCCUCUUUCUGCUCAUGUGGAAAUUGCCUGGGAAGCUAGUAAGCUGUUGGCUCUGAAGGCAGUUGGCUGUCCUGAGUUUUCGAGUCCCUUGGAAGGAUUCUGGGGAGUUGGCCGAUUGGCUGCAGACCCGAGCUCAUCUGACGAUGUGAACAGCCUCCUGAGACCUACAGGAAUGUGAUGACAUCAGUCGUUGUCCCCCUAGCUGGUCCACUUUAGCUCAUGGUAUCCUCUGACGACUUCCCUGGAAGGAGACGCUCCCUUACAGAUGGGGAAGCUGGGCCUUUUGGCUGAAGUCAUUGAUUCCUGAGGUCACACAGUUGUAGGGCAGAAGGUGUCAGGACAGACACGGGUGGCGGCCCCCCUGUUCCGGGUGCUCACUGUUGAGCCCGUUUGACCUGCUGACCUCGUGUUACACACGAGGAAAUGGAAGUCCUCCAAGGCGAAACAACACCCAGGCGCCAGAGAGAGAGAGCAGAGGAGAGGGGGCCGAGGGAGCCUGACAUGGAGCUUGAUCCCGUAAGUGAUUGAGUGAUCUUCUCACUGUGUCAUUUCGCCUUUUCCAGAACAUCAUAUAGUCGGAGUUCUGCAGCAGAGUGGAUUAUUUCACCCAGAAACGUGCAUUUACGUUUCCUCCACGUCUUUUCAUGGCUCAUUUCUUUUCGGUGCUGAAUAAUAUUCCAGUGUCUGGAGCGUAUUUAUCCAUAAGCUCAGCUACUGAAGGACAUCUUGCUUGCUCCCAAGCUUUGGCUAUUAGGAAUAAAGCUGCUAUGCACGUCACGUGCAGGUUCUCAUGUGGAUAUGCUUCCAGCUCGUUGGGGGCAAAUUCCGAGAAGCACAACAGCUGGGUCACAGGGUAACGGUCUGGUUUUGUAAGGGGCCACCCGGCUGUCUCCCAGAGUGGCCGCUCCCCUCUGCACUCCCACCAGUGAGCGCUCCUGCUUCUCCUCGCCCUGGCCCAGCAGGCUCUGGGUUUGGUCCUUGUGGUCAGCAUGCAGUGGCGUCUCCUUUCAGUUCCAGUGGAUGUUAGCUUUCAUUUCUAACCUUACCUAGGUUCCCCUGCUGUUUCUUUCUAUGCUUUGCUUAUUCGACAAACCUUUCCGGAGGAACUUUUCCUUUGAAGUGGGUGGGUUAAUGGGCACGACUCAGUCCUUUCUCAUUGCCUGUUAGAAUCCGCAUUGUGCCUUGUGUGGGUGCGUGUUGCAUGGGUGAUACCUAAUUAUAAGGAUGUAUCGGUGAAAGGGCUCUGCAAACAGGGUUCUGGCAGAGGUACUGGGGGAGGUUGGGGGCAUGAAUCACGGCAGCAUUUACCUGCUCCUUGAGAGUCCAGGCAGGGACCCCUCCUGCCUGUUCUCUGCUUGUUGUCAGCCCUGCAAAGUGCCUGAGCCCGGGGGGGACACUCAGGAAAUGUUUGUUGAAUGAAGAAGAGGAAAUCAAAGAAGGCUUCCUGGAGGAGGUGGCCCUUAAGCUGAGGCUGAAACGGAAUUCCUGUUUCAUGAGGGAGAGCAGAGGGGAGAUGGCAGGCGCCAGGCUCAGAGACGUGGAAGGUGCACACAGCUUGCAGACCGUAAUCAAGCAAGAGGUCUGGUUGGGCUUUGUUUUGUCACAAGCUAUGUGUUUGGGGCAAGCGAGUUCCUGGAAGAAAGUAAUAAAGAUCCAUCUGUUUGUUCAAUAAACAUUUACUUGCCAUAUACCCUGUCUGAGGCUUGCGGAAGGCUGGCACGAAGCUGUGGGCAGCGCUGGCAGGCGAGUGGGGGAGCCAGUGGGGCUCCCAUGGUGUCCUGGGCGCUGGGUGGGAGUCAUGCAGGGAGAGGGCGUAGGAGGAGGGCGUCGGGCCAGGGUCAGAAAGGAGGGCGCCCUGUGGGAGCGGGUGUCAGAGAGGGAGGGACAGGUGCAGCAAGGAAGCUGGGGAUGCCGGAGCCUCAGUGUGGGUGCCCUUGGGAGGGCCCUGGACGUGCCACGUGGAGGUUGGCAGGCGUGCGACGUUUUCAGGGCAGUGUGCUCAUGUCUCACUGAGCUAGGAACUGCUUGGUAAAAGUGCAGAUCCUUGGUUUCGACCUUGGUGCAGAACGCAGAGAUUUUGACCCCAUGGGCCCAGGCAUGUGCAUUUUCGUUUUGUGGGCAUGUUUUUGGCACCCCAGGAAAUUCCGGUUCUGCUGACCCUUCGACAGAGCAGAAAUGCCUCUCUCAGGGCCUCGGGAACCCCUGAAGCGCAAACCCAUUAAGGUGCCUAACCUUGCUGCUUCUGUGGGGGCCUGAGGCUGGUGUCUGGACUGCCUGUUCUGCUGUCAGCUGGCCCCUGGGGACACAUGGUCCCGGAGGCCACGUGCAGGGACAUCAUAUCGGGGCCUGAUUUCCCUCCUUGGUCAGGUGACAAUCUGACAGCUCAUCUUGAUUUCAUCUCAUUUCACAUGUUGCCUGUUCAAGAAGCAAUUUCAGGUGGCUUAUAAGGCAUAGAAUACAUGAAUAUGGCAUAAAUUAAAAGUGGGAGAAAGAUAGAAAAACAGAGGGGACGAAACAGAGUGAAGAAUAAUGACGCUCAGUUAUCGGGCGUCACUUCCCUGAAACCUGUUCUAAUUUCUUGCAGGGUUUAUGGCUACUUUGCGGGCCGUGUGGAGGAUUAGGGUUUAAGCUGCCAGUGCUCCUUCCGCUGCAAAAAGCCUCGCGUCUCUAUAGAAGCUAAAGCCACCAAAUCCGUACUUGAUUUGUUUAAUGAAAUGUGCUUCUUAGCAGGCGCGCGAUGUCGAGCGAGUAUUGUCUGGCGGUGAGAAAGUCUGGAUGCCCGGCCCGCAGUGCCGAGCGCUGCCAGUGACUUUUUUGUGCCCGUGAAUGCGGGGUCCCGCGGCUGCUCGCUAAGCCGGCCGUGAAUGCACAGCAGCUGGCUGCAGGGCCGCUAGGCUCUGUCCCUGACCCAGGGGGUUCCCAGGUCCCGGAGACUCAGGCCUCUGGUCAGCUGUAGGCGGCCACCCCACACUCCGGGGCCUUCCGGGAGCCAGCGGGAUGAUGGGCCCCCAUCUUUAGGGUGUUGGGUUCUAGGGGAAGCAUCUGUGAUAACAUUUGCUUCAUGGAGAGAGAAACCCCUGGUCCAGUAGCGUUAAAAGCCUCCACUCUUCUGUGAUCUCCGUACUGCAGACCUGCCCUCCCCCCCAAUUUGCUUUUGUGUUCCUGGUGGUAAGAAUACACUUGUGAGUGAAUGAACCUCCAGGCUGAGGAGGUCAAGCAAGCUAAGCUGGAUCCGCCAGAGCAACAGCAACCUCCCUGUCCCAGCCUCUCCAAGGAGGGCGGGGCCAUGCUGUGUUGUCUCCAAGGAGGGCGGGGCCGUGCUGUGUUGUCUCCAAGGAGGGCGGGGCCGUGCUGUGUUGUCUCCAAGGAGGGCGGGGCCAUGCUGUGUUGUCUUCAAGGAGGGCAGGGCCAUGUGUGGUUACCUGCCCAAACAUAGGAUUUUUUUUCUUUUCUUUUUCUUUUUUCUUUCUUUUUUUUUUUUUUUAGGUUUGUUUCUUUAUUUUGAGAAAGUGAGUGAGGGACCAGGGGUGGGGCAGAGAGAGAGAGGGAGAGACAGAGGAUCCCAAGCAGGCUCCUUGCUGUCAGCGCAGAGCCCGACCCAGGGCUCGAACUUACCAACUGUGAGAUCACGACCUGAGCCGAAACCAGCGAUGGGCCCUCAACCGACUCGGCGCCCUGAAACAUAGGAUUUCUGAGAUCUGUGGUAAUUUCAGUCAAUGUUCUUGGAAUAGAGAAGUUGAUUCUUUAAUCCAGUGAUCUUUCUUGUCUCCCCUUCUUGAAUUUCCUCAGGAGCGCUAUGCCAGUGCAGCAUCUGCAUCUGUGUGUGUGUGUGUGUGUGUGUGUGUGUGUGUGUGUGUGGGGUCGCGACUUUCUCUGCAGACUUUCUCUGCAGAGUAAUGAUUAAGCAAAACCAAAGGGCAGUCUUCUGUAAGGGCGCUGUUGACAAAUAUUUCGGUUACAUAACCGUGAACUGAGGUUGCAAAGUGUUGUAUCCCCAGGUCCUUAACUUACUCCUCCCUGGCUCGGGAGCUGGGCCUGGUCCCCUGGUUGACACCACCUUGUCCACAGGGGUGGCUUCUCUCCUGGGACAUAGUCUUCACCCCUUCCCUCUACCCUCCCUCCUAGUGUGGCUUUUCUGGGGCUCUUCAUGCCGGUUCCUGCUGCAGCGUCCUGAGGCCCUGGUGCUUUGGCUCAUCUUGGCUGAGGGACCUUGCCCUCUUUCCCGAAAGGAGGGAUGGAGGGUCAGCACCUCACCUGGCAGCUGGUUCGAAGUGCAGACUGCAGGUGCACUCACAGCAGCCUCCCCAGGGAGCACCUGCAUUUUAACAAAAUCUUCAGGAGAUUCUUGUGCACGAAAGCCUCACAUGUGCUUUCCUAGUCCUCCGUUCCCUCAAAGACACAAAGUUCCCUUUAAGAUCUGGAAGAAGUGAAGGUCUAGCCAAUGGACUCGCUUUCUCGGGAAGAUUCUCAGCAAGUGCAAGAGGUGGAGCUUUAUUCUGAAACCAAGCAAAAUAAAGUGUCCUCUUCUCAGGCUCCGACGGAUGCCGGACCGAGGCUCCCCCAGGGGGGGAGAUGCCGUGUCUCUGCACCUGAGCUGUCCUCUGGAGGGAGCUUGGGCAAGAUGCUUCACUUCUCCAAGACAGUUUUCCCUUCGGUAAAAUGGGAUGAGAAAAAAGAUCCUCCUUUCUGAGUUGUGGGGAAAGUUCACAGAUCCACACGGGGUGGACGAUGUGUUGGGAGCCAGGUGUGGCUUAUGAUGUCACUGCAGUGGGGAGGGCUGGAGCCGGGCUCCUCAUCGCUAAGUGGGGGUAAUGCCUGCUGCAUGGGCUGGCCCAAGGAUUAAGAGGCUAUGCAUGCACGAUGCCAGGGUGACAGCUAUUAUUUUCAUAACAACUGGCUUGUGUAACUGCCCUGUGUGCAUGGCAAUCAGCCGUGGCUUCAGGGAGGCCCCGGUACCUGAAUCAUCCAAGGACAGGUGGGGGCAGGUGGAGGACGAGGCCACUUUGGGCUGCGGCAGUGCCUUCUAGAUCGUUCACAGAGGCACGGUUUAUCCCAGGGCACUCAGGCCUAGAUUCCUGAGAGAAUCCGUAAGAAGCACUGAAGUUGACAUGACAUGUUGCUAAGUAGAUUUCUUUUAAAAGGUGUUCUCUCUCUGAGGUAAUGACAGAUGUGAGUGUUGCUAUGGUGACAGGUUGUCUGUUUGGAAGUACACAGCACAAUGGUUCAGGUGGCUUGCCUACAAUUUAUGGUCGUAGAAUGUAAGCAAGGCCCCUUUUGGGAAAUUUUACCAAGGGGUCUUCUCCUUCUGGUUCUGGUUUCCAAAGCCGAGUUUAUUUUGUGCCUUGGGUGACUGCGCAAGAUGGGGAGACCAUUGCAUGUAUUUACGAGGACAGAAUCUAUGCACACCACACGGCUGAAAGUUCAGGGCUUUCCAGGAACUGAAGGUGAUUGAAAAAAGUCCCACGUGGAGCUUAGAGCGUCAAAGGGAGGCAGAAUCUGCAGCGAGCCUCGAAGUUAUUUUAAAAUGACAAGCGCUCGGGGAGUGCCCGCUGUGUGCUGAGGGUCCCACGGAGGUGGAGGGUGGGUGAGGAGGUACGAGUGAGCGCGGUCCCUGCCCUUCAGAGGUCAGGGCAGAGAGCCCAACGCAGAGCGGACUGGGCUACAGGCUUCAAGUGCUAUGGACACAGCUGGGUGUUUGGGGGCUGGGACCAGUCCCAGUGUCAGGGCCGUGGUCUGGGGACUGUAGCAGGAUCUUGAAGGAUGAGCAGGGUUCCUGCAGAGUCCAUUUAUACAGCUGCCUAUCAUUUCAUCCUAUGGAAACACAAUAUGUGGUUUUUUUUUGUUUUUUUUUUUUUGCGGGGGGCGGGGGAGGGAUCUCCUCUUCGAGGCUCACCUAGGCUGCUUCCAAAUCAUCUCUGUUAUGAGCAGGGUGGUGAGCACUGUCUAUGCCUUUUGAGCAAGACAGUUGAAGUAGGAGAUACGUGAGUGUAGGCAGUGUGUUGUCUUGUUUUAAGAAAGGCAGACUCCCACCCGCAGCGCCUCAUUCGGACGUGUCUGGGGUCUUGGAAGCUUGUCUACCCUACGUUCUCCUCCCAGAGGUGCUGGAGAGCUUGCUGGGAGGUCCAUUGGUAGGAGGGGAGCACAGCCACUCAUAUACCCUUGCCCCAAGAAUGGUCCUCCCGUGCCGGGGACGAUCAUCCUCUUCCACCGAGCGCGCAGCGUCUGGAGGGACACACAUGGGCGGAGGGGGACACCCGCCUAGCCAGCCAGAUCAGCCAGAUCAACUCUGGAGAUCAAUGGGGUGACAGAUGUCGCAGCCAGAAAGCCCCAGUAUCCUGUUCCAGAGAAGCGUACCCCCAGGUCUCCCCGUCUGCCAGGGCCUGGCCUGCCAAUGUUUCACCUUGAGUAGAUGCAAAUCCUCGUCUUGGUGUUUUAUGGCCUCUGCAUCUGUUCUCUGAUUUUUCUGUAUUGUGUCUCUUUUGAAUGAGAGGAAAAAAUGCCCAUUUAUGGGAACAGAAAAAAAAACAAGUUUCAGGAAGUGCGGCUCAUUUCUUGGUGUACCAACGAAUAGCAUCUCGUUGCUGUCCAGCAAGUGGUCUGCUGUGGUUUGUUCACCAGGACCAUGAGCUGUCACUGACACUGUCCCGGGAACUUUCUUCUCAGGCGCCGGCUCUAAGCUCAUCCUCUUGGGUUAUUCUCUAGUUGCUUCUAUUCUCUUUU
Molecule: long non-coding RNA, 7591 nt
Organism: Felis catus (domestic cat)
Lineage: Eukaryota; Metazoa; Chordata; Mammalia; Carnivora; Felidae
Exons: 7
Source: RefSeq, a predicted model, not a curated record